This 42-nucleotide transfer RNA is filed under the name Astelia hemichrysa. Its description in RNAcentral is "partial tRNA-Phe". Lineage: Eukaryota; Viridiplantae; Streptophyta; Magnoliopsida; Asparagales; Asteliaceae. The record is from RNAcentral.
UCGGGAUAGCUCANUUGGUAGAGCAAAGGACUGAAAAUCCUC